This 117-nucleotide non-coding RNA is filed under the name Nomascus leucogenys (northern white-cheeked gibbon). Lineage: Eukaryota; Metazoa; Chordata; Mammalia; Primates; Hylobatidae. The record is from Rfam by way of RNAcentral.
GCCGGGCGUGGUGGCUCACGCCUGUAAUCCGAGCACUUUGGGAGGCUGAGGUGGGCGGAUCACCUGAGGUCAGGAGUUCAAGACCAGCCUGGCCAACAUGGUGAAACCCUGUCUCUA